RNAcentral lists this non-coding RNA (188 nucleotides) under Clostridiaceae bacterium. Its description in RNAcentral is "6S RNA". It matches the Rfam family "6S / SsrS RNA". From Rfam's summary of the family: E. coli 6S RNA was the first non coding RNA to be sequenced, but its function was unknown until recently. It consists of 184 nucleotides that fold into an extended hairpin structure with a large single-stranded internal bulge. Lineage: Bacteria; Bacillati; Bacillota; Clostridia; Eubacteriales; Clostridiaceae. RNAcentral also lists the same sequence under 1 other name. The record is from RNAcentral.
UUUUCCCUGCAUAGUACGUACAUUAGAAUUUUUAGAACCUACAAGUUUAAAGAGGGACCGAUCUCAAAGUAUGGCGUGCAAGCUCACAUUAUAUAGUGAGAAGCCCAGGAGUAUUUUGGUAGGAACCCACCUGUUUGUGAAGAGCAGGUCCUUAAAAAUUCGGCAACUACGGCUAAGGCGGGGUUUUU